UAGGGAAUCUUUGGCAAUGGACGAAAGUCUGACCGAGCAACGCCGCGUGAGUGAAGAAGGUUUUCGGAUCGUAAAACUCUGUUGUUAGAGAAGAACAAGGACGUUAGUAACUGAACGACCCCUGACGGUAUCUAACCAGAAAGCCACGGCUAACUACGUGCCAGCAGCCGCGGUAAUACGUAGGUGGCAAGCGUUGUCCGGAUUUAUUGGGCGUAAAGCGAGCGCAGGCGGUAUCUUAUGUCUGAUGUGAAAGCCCCCGGCUCAACCGGGGAGGGUCAUUGGAAACUGGGGGACUUGAGUGCAGAAGAGGAGAGUGGAAUUCCAUGUGUGCCGGUGAAAUGCGUAGUUAUAUGGAGGAACACCAGUGGCGACGGCGGCUCUCUGGUCUGUAACUGACGCUGUGACUCGAAGGCGUGGGGGGCAAACCGG
This 429-nucleotide ribosomal RNA is filed under the name Gemmatimonadota bacterium. Its description in RNAcentral is "Gemmatimonadetes bacterium partial 16S ribosomal RNA". It matches the Rfam family "Bacterial small subunit ribosomal RNA", at positions 355 to 776 of the family's 1533-position model. The record is from RNAcentral. Lineage: Bacteria; Pseudomonadati; Gemmatimonadota.